CUCUUGUGCCCCUUCUCCCUACUUUCGGUCCCUUUGUGCGAGAUCCCAUUACCUUCCCCUUUGUCAGCACCGGAGGUUUGGCACUAGUUCGAACCUUCCCUGCCGCCACCUCCCUGCCUCGCCACCGCCUCUGUACGCGGUUGCUCUGUGUGACCUGUGGCUGCUUCCUCUUGAGGCCUUAGUGCGAUUCUUGGUUCUUUUUAGUGGUGCUACUUUGUGUGGUUUUUGGUCACAAAUCUGAGCCCUCUAUACUUACUUUUGGUGUCAAUCUUUGUGAAAUCGAUAGGGAAGUGUUUGGUUUCGUUCAUAUCAUAUUAUACCAUUGUUAUUAAUUGAUUUGGAACUAACUCAGUGUUGUUUGAUCAAUUGAAGGUCUUAUUUAACUCCAUAUGGUUUCUUCAAGUCGAGCCAAUUCAAGCGACUACUCUCAUCAAUGGUGGCCUUUUGGCCUCUCUCUGCCGUGUCUUCAAAAUUCUGGUUACAUAGUGACAUCGAUCCAACCAGCCAAGCCUUUUUCCCAAUCACAUUCCUGGGCUGGUUCUAAAGCAUAGAAACUACUAACAUGGGGUGGUUCUAAAGCAGCAAUUACCAUUGAAGUAAUUCUAUGAACCCCAAUUGCAUAAAUUAAAUCCGCCACCUAACGGUGGAAGGUGUCAGUGACAAUACAGCCGCGACUGCCGGAUUAGGAGAAUUGAGGUGUCAGUCAUCAUGGCCUCCCCCAACAAAUGGGAAGAAAAAUAUUUCAACCUUGUGGCUUUCCACUUCCAGAGAUGCUUUGGUGGCAGGGGUGGCAAUGGAGGGCGGUCAGAGUGUUGGAGAGCAAGAUGGAUGCAGUAGUGAGCAAUUGAGAACGAAUGUUCAGAUUUACUGCUAAUUAGGAACAUAAUAUAAAUGCAAUUUGUAACCUUAUCAUCAGUUAGUCAAUGGAUGAACUCAUC
Molecule: long non-coding RNA, 938 nt
Filed under: Olea europaea subsp. europaea
Lineage: Eukaryota; Viridiplantae; Streptophyta; Magnoliopsida; Lamiales; Oleaceae
Source: RNAcentral